ACCGGCUGCCACACAGAUGGAACUUGAGGACAGUGCACUGAGUGGAUGAGCAGCCAUGAAGGGACGAGAGGGGCACAGUGCCACUCUCUAAAGAGGCCUUGAAACCAGGAACCAAAGUAAAAUUGUCUUUUAAGUAGUUUUUACAGGUAUCUUGUCCCUCCCAAAGCCCCACGUGUUAAAGGCUGGGUCUCCAGCUUGGCCCUGUGGUAAAGGAGUGGGAGCUCUUCAGGGUGGGGGACACACCCUUGAAGGGUAGCGGGACCCCAGCCCCUUCCUCUCCUCUUUCAGUCCCUAGCCAUCAGGCGAGCAUUUUGCUCCACCUGGCACUUCUGCCAUGGGGCACUACCCCUCCCCCCAAAACAACAUGUCCUCUUGACCACAGGUUGGAGCCUGCGAAACUGUGAGCCAAAGUACGCCUGCAUGAGGGGGCCUUGUGUCCGUGAUGGGGCUGACCAGCACGCCUGGCCCAGCAUUAGCAACAGUUUUGGAAGCUGAUAAGUUCUUUACUAGCAGUAACAAAGAACAAAACUUGAUCAGCCACACCAAGAACUCCAUCCUCUCUGGAGAAAUCACAGAGACGAGCAGAGAAUGCAGCCCAAAAACCUAGCCGAAAACCUGUGUGAACAGAGCUUGCGGUUCCUGGUUCUGCACCACUAUGGACCCAGCUGCUGGAACGCUGCCCUGCAAGUCAUUCCUGCUGCCGUGAGCCAGAUGCCGGGCAUGGAGAAGCUGGGUCACCUGGAGAGUGAGUGCUGACCUGAGGGGAGACUGAGGCCCUGUUUUCCAUGAGCCUGCGCCAUCUCACACUUCCGCCAGCCGCACUUGAGAGUCCAGCUACACUUGGUGUUCAGUCAUUUCUCAUUACCUUACCACUGAGUGGCAGUUCUGUCUCCUGUGUCUUAAGUUUGCAUUUCUUUCCUCCCUAGAGAUAUUGAGCAGGCAGGUGCAGUGCCCACACCUGUAAUUCCAGCUGCUCAAGAAGCUCAGGCAGGAGGACUAUUUCUGGGCAACUUUGAGACCCUGUCUCAAAGAUUAGACAGAGUGGGGAUAUGUGGCUUAGUGGUAGCACUGGCCUAGCAUACAUUCAGUACUGGGUUCAAUCCUCCAGUACUGAAAAAAAAAGUUUUAAUUGUGCAAUAGUAUUAUAGUUGCAAAAGAUUUGUUUUGGUUAGUGUUUUCACAGUAUAUGAAUAUUUUUAUAUUUUCACAGUACAUACAUUUUUUCAUCUUUCCACUUUAAAUCUUUCCUAUCCUUAUAUUCUUAUAAGCAGCAUGUAAUAUUGUUUUUCCUUCCUGUUUAAUAUUCUUUGUCUUUUAGUUGGAAUAUUUGGUUUUUUUACAUCUAAUGUAAUAUUGAUGGAUUUGGAUUUAAAUCGUUCAUAUUACUAUUUGUUUUCCUAUCUAUCCUAUGUCCUUUUCCUUCCUGUUUCUUACCUCCUUUUAUACUAAUCAUAUUUUAUUGCUUUAUUUUACCUCUAACAAAAAGUUGCGUCAACUUUUACUGGUCACCCUAGAAAUUAUAAUAUGAAUCCUUGGUCUAAUACUGUAGAGUUAUCAUGUCAAUCAUGAUACAGAAUAUUUCAAUCACCCCGAAACAUUCUCUUGUUUCUUUGUAGUGAGUCACUCCAUCAACCAAGCAGGGGAAACAGGGCUCUAGGGGAUCAGUGGGUCCUCUGCAUCACUAACCAAACCCUAAAACUCCUAGCAUGGGCCAGAACUUGACAGCUAAGGCUGGGUUAUGGGACUGUCUGCCAGAGAUGACUGAGGAAGCACGUGAGCCCAGGACUCAUCCACAGGGGCCAUGCUGGGAGGUGCUCUCCCCCCACGGUUACCUACAGGGGGAAUUUCCCC
This is a long non-coding RNA of Ictidomys tridecemlineatus (thirteen-lined ground squirrel), 1851 nucleotides long. NCBI's taxonomy places the organism in Eukaryota, Metazoa, Chordata, Mammalia, Rodentia, Sciuridae. The record is from Ensembl.